GACGAACGCUGGCGGCGUGCUUAACACAUGCAAGUCGAACGGAAAGGCCCUGCUUUUGUGGGGUGCUCGAGUGGCGAACGGGUGAGUAACACGUGAGUAACCUGCCCUUGACUUUGGGAUAACUUCAGGAAACUGGGGCUACUAUCGGAUAGGAGCUCCUGCAGCAUGGUGGGCGUUGGAAAGUUUCGGCGGUGGGGGAUGGACGCGCGGCUUAUCAGCUUGUUGGUGGGGUAGUGGUGUACCAAGCCUUUGACGGGUAGCCGGCCUGAGAGGGUGACCGGGCACAUGGGGACUAAGAUACGGACCAGACGCCUACGGGGGACAGCAGUGGGAAAUAUUGCCCAAUGAGCGGAAGCCUGAUGCAGCAGCGCCGGGUGCGGAAAGACGGUCUUUGGGUUAUAAACCGCAUUCGGCUGUGACGAAGCGUUAGUGACGGUAAUGAGUAAAGAAGCACCGGCUAACUACGUG
This 468-nucleotide ribosomal RNA is filed under the name uncultured bacterium. Its description in RNAcentral is "partial 16S ribosomal RNA". It matches the Rfam family "Bacterial small subunit ribosomal RNA", at positions 28 to 507 of the family's 1533-position model. The record is from RNAcentral.